GGGAGGUGUAGCUCAAGCCAGGGGAGGUGUAGCUCAAGUCAGGGGAGGUGUAGCUCAAGUCAGGGGAGGUGUAGCUCAAGUCAGGGGAGGUGUAGCUCAAGC
This is a long non-coding RNA of Oncorhynchus tshawytscha (Chinook salmon), 102 nucleotides long. RefSeq lists it as uncharacterized. Lineage: Eukaryota; Metazoa; Chordata; Actinopteri; Salmoniformes; Salmonidae. The transcript is spliced from 3 exons. The record is from RefSeq and is a predicted model, not a curated record.